RNAcentral lists this ribosomal RNA (107 nucleotides) under uncultured bacterium. RNAcentral's name for it is "partial 16S ribosomal RNA". It matches the Rfam family "Bacterial small subunit ribosomal RNA", at positions 1367 to 1482 of the family's 1533-position model. The record is from RNAcentral.
UACGUUCCCGGGCCUUGUACACACCGCCCGUCAAGCCAUGGAAGUUGGGAGUGCCUAAAGUCGGUCACCGCAAGGAGCUGCCUAAGGCAAAACCAGUAACUGGGGCU